GGAGAGGUAUCGAAGUGGUCAUAACGGGGCUGACUCGAAAUCAGUUUGCGAGCAAUCGCACAAGGGUUCGAAUCCCUUCCUCUCCGCCA
This 89-nucleotide transfer RNA is filed under the name Eubacterium sp. CAG:841. Its description in RNAcentral is "transfer RNA-Ser(CGA)". It matches the Rfam family "tRNA". Rfam says of the family: Transfer RNA (tRNA) molecules are approximately 80 nucleotides in length. Their secondary structure includes four short double-helical elements and three loops (D, anti-codon, and T loops). RNAcentral also lists the same sequence under 1 other name. The record is from RNAcentral. Lineage: Bacteria; Bacillati; Bacillota; Clostridia; Eubacteriales; Eubacteriaceae.